CUGAGGCCCUGGUUACUUAUCCCAGUUUCCUCAGAAAAUAACCUAUGAUUCUGUUGAGAAGAAGCCCACUGUUAUGUUUGAAACUAAAUCUUUUUAUUUUUUUAUUUCUAGAAGUUCUUUCUACUUGGCAAGGAAGACACAGAAGUUUAGAAGAAGACACACUCGUUUAGAGAGGAAAGAGCAUAUAUUUGGAGCCAAGAAAUAGUAUUUAUUCUUGUCCCUGAAACAGGCCCUUCUGUUGCUCCUUCCCCUUACUGAUUAAAUAAGGCAGAAGCUGGAAGGCAGUGGUGUGAAAAGAUGGGUGAUCAACAACUCUAUUCCUUCUAACUUCAGGAACCUCCCCAAACUAGUUUGCUCCUCUUUGUACUCUAUAUUCGUGCCCCACUCACAGUCUUGUGACAGAAUGCUUAGAAAUUCUAUUGGCCUGAUCUGGCCAGUAUCCAGUGAUGAACUGAUUGGGUUGAUUUAGCAAAAACCCCUGUAGUACCCAUGUUGUUUUGGGGAAGUCACAGAGCCAUCCAGCCCAGCUGCCUCAAAGCCCAAGUGCUGCUGCUUGUCCAAUUCAUGGGAGAAAAUGCUUAUGUAUUUAACCAUUCUAGUUUUUGUUUGUUUGUUUUUACUUAAAACAUAUGGCUUACUAAGGUACUUGUAAUUCGUGAAGAUGUGCAAAACUCACCCUGUUUUUGGAUAUUUCCCCUUUCCCAGACAGCACAGAAUUGCUAGAGGACACGGAACUAACUGUUGGAGAUCAUUCUUUGCUCACACUUAGGAUGAUGUUUACAGAACAUCUCAGCACAGAAGUUAGUCAUCAUAGAGAGCCUCUUGAAGCUGAGAAAUAAGGAUAAUUCUUCAUCUUUAUCAACUUCCACUUCCCACUUUUUUCUGGCCGACGUAUUGUGUUUCUACAUAGUAAAUUCACUUAAAAUUGCUCAGUAUUCCUGUGAAUUAAGAGACCUCUGGAGUAAGAGACGUAUUAUGCCUUUUGAACAGCCUUUCUGAGAUUCAAUCUUUCCAUCCAUUAAAAAGAAGAUGGUGACAAUUGAUAUUUGUAUGAUAGCAGAUGUUAGAAGAGAUCAAAACCACACAAGUCCAUGGUUAUGCUGCUACCAGCCGCCACAGCCUAUCUGGAAGACUGUGGAAGACUAUUAUCGAAUUGCUACACAGAAAAGAACCCAUGAAAAGACAAAACUCUUUUGAAAAUAUAAGAGAAACCUUAUAACCCCGACACCCAAAUCAUUAGGGAAAAGAGAUGAUGAUAAUGAUUACAUUUCCUCUGGAAAUAUGUCCAGAAGAGGAACUGGGAGAUCAUAAGAAAGAAUCUGACACUGGAGUUGCAACAGCCACCUUGUGUCAAUAAGGAAAGAGCUGGCUGGAGAAGUCUGUACUGAAGAAAAGUGGUGAACAUCAGGUGGGCAGGAAACCUACAUAGAAAAUACCCUGCGAUCAGCACUUUUGUCUUGCUGCUCUGGCUGCUCUCUGUAGAUCCCAGAUAUAACAUGCUCAUUUCAUUCACUGUAUAAAAUGAACUGACUACAGGAAGAAACUGAGCAAAUUAACACCUAAAUCAAGAGGAAAUCAACAACCCUGGGAACCCACAGAACACGUCUGACAGCUGCAGGACUCAGAUUCUCAGUUCAACAAAUUAUGAUUCACGAAGACUCUCUGACAGGAAAAACAGUUUCUACUACAACCUAGUGGGUUUAUAUGUUAGUGUGUGUGAGCCUGAGGGGGUGGGGGAAGGAGGGAGAGAGGGAGGGGGAGGGAGAGAGUUAUGUGUGUGUGUGUGUGGUUUAAUUAGUUUAGCUAAAGGAAGAAGAACAUGCCCCAAAUUUUUAAUUUUAAUCAUAAUUGGCAUUUCAUUAGCUUAAGAUGAACAGUUUUCUAUUAUGUGCUCCUACUAGACGGCUAGAGUGCAUGGCAGAGUGGUUAUGUUCAAAACCUCACCUUGGCAGGGGCAUUCUCAUUGGGACUAAAUUUAGCUUAAAAUAACAAUAAAACUGUCUUUUAUUAA
Molecule: long non-coding RNA, 2011 nt
Organism: Felis catus (domestic cat)
Lineage: Eukaryota; Metazoa; Chordata; Mammalia; Carnivora; Felidae
Exons: 9
Source: RefSeq, a predicted model, not a curated record